CUGGGAGCCAAUCUUGCCCCAGUCACGAAUCCUACCGCGGCAACGCUCCUCCUUACGGUUAGGCUAACUACUCUGGUAAAUCCACCUCCAUGGUGUGACAGGGCGGUGCGGACUGCGGCAGCCCACCGCGACAUCGGAUCCGCGACACUAGCGAUUCCGAUUUCACGCAGUCGAGUUGCAGACUGCGGACCAGAUCGGUUUCUCGCCACAUGACUCCUGUCCCUGACCAUGGUAGCGACGUGUGAGCUUCCUGCCUAUAGCAGCCAUGAGGACGUCAUCCCCAAUUUCCCCUCCGUUUAAUAUGUCCACAUGCCCUUUCGUAGCAAUCCACGACAAGGGCCGCGCUUCGCUGCGGACUUAACCAACAUCUUCACGACGACGAGCUGACGAUAUGCAGUAUCCCGGGCCCUGCCAGAUGACUUAAAUUUUUCGGGACGCAGGACAUGGGCCAGCGGCGGUGCGUUUUCGGAUGCAACGCGAAAAACCUUACCUACUCCUUGACAUGUCUGGAAUCCCGAAGAGAUUUGGGAGUGCUCGCAAGAGAACCGGAACACAGGUGCUGCAUGGCUGUCGUCAACUCGUGUCGUGAGAUGUUGGGUUAAGUCCUGCAACGAGCGCAACCCCUUGUCAUUAGUUGCUACGAAAGGGCACUCUAAUGAGACUGCCGGUGACAAACCGGGAGGAAGGGGUGGGGAUGACGUCAAGUCCUCAUGGCCCUUAUGGGUAGGGCUUCACACGUCAUACAAUGGUCGGGACAGAGGGUCGCCAACCCGCGAGGGGAGCCAAUCCCAGAAACCCGAUCGUAGUCCGGAUCGCAGUUCGCAACUCGACUGCGUGAAGUCGGAAUCGCUAGUAAUCGCGGAUCAGCAUGUCGCGGUGAAUACGUUCCCGGGGUCUUGUACACACCGCCCGUCACACCAUGGGAGUGGGGUUUUACCAGAAGUAGUUAGCCUAACCGUAAGGAGGGCGAUUACCACGGUAGGAUUCAUGACUGGGGUGAAGUCGUAACAAGGUAG
Molecule: unclassified non-coding RNA, 1016 nt
Filed under: uncultured Bordetella sp.
Lineage: Bacteria; Pseudomonadati; Pseudomonadota; Betaproteobacteria; Burkholderiales; Alcaligenaceae
Description: partial 16S-23S ribosomal RNA intergenic spacer
Rfam family: Bacterial small subunit ribosomal RNA (bases 404-1016)
Source: RNAcentral